Molecule: ribosomal RNA, 351 nt
Filed under: Protoniopagurus bioperculatus
Lineage: Eukaryota; Metazoa; Arthropoda; Malacostraca; Decapoda; Paguridae
Description: partial small subunit ribosomal RNA
Source: RNAcentral
AAAAUAUUACCAGAGUAUUAAUAGUUAUUUUCUUUAAAUUCAAAGAAUUUGGCGGUAUUUUAGUCCUUUUAGAGGAACCUGUUUCGUAAACGAUAUACCACGAAGAUCUUACCUGUUAAGUUGUUUGUAUACCGUCAUUAUUAGAUAACUUUGACAAAAUAAGUUAUUGUAAUUAAGUGGGUUAAGUAAAUUAGAUCAAGGUGCAGCUUAUAAAUAGGAGAAAAUGGGUUACAAUAAAAAUAAUUUAAAUGGAGUUGUUUUUGAAAUUAAACGAUGAAGGUGGAUUUAAUUGUAAUUUUAAUAAUUAUAAUAAUUUGACAUAGGCUCUAGAAUAUGUACAUAUCGCCCGUC